GAUGAACGCUGGCGGCGUGCCUAAUACAUGCAAGUCGAGCGAACAGAUGAGGAGCUUGCUCCUCUGACGUUAGCGGCGGACGGGUGAGUAACACGUGGAUAACCUACCUAUAAGACUGGGAUAACUUCGGGAAACCGGAGCUAAUACCGGAUAAUAUAUUGAACCGCAUGGUUCAAUAGUGAAAGACGGUUUUGCUGUCACUUAUAGAUGGAUCCGCGCCGCAUUAGCUAGUUGGUAAGGUAACGGCUUACUAAGGCAACGAUGCGUAGCCGACCUGAGAGGGUGAUCGGCCACACUGGAACUGAGACACGGUCCAGACUCCUACGGGAGGCAGCAGUAGGGAAUCUUCCGCAAUGGGCGAAAGCUUGACGGAGCAACGCCGCGUGAGUGAUGAAGGUCUUCGGAUCGUAAAACUCUGUUAUUAGGGAAGAACAAAUGUGUAAGUAACUAUGCACGUCUUGACGGUACCUAAUCAGAAAGCCACGGCUAACUACGUG
RNAcentral lists this ribosomal RNA (497 nucleotides) under uncultured bacterium. RNAcentral describes it as "partial 16S ribosomal RNA". It matches the Rfam family "Bacterial small subunit ribosomal RNA", at positions 28 to 507 of the family's 1533-position model. The record is from RNAcentral.